This 498-nucleotide ribosomal RNA is filed under the name uncultured bacterium. RNAcentral describes it as "partial 16S ribosomal RNA". It matches the Rfam family "Bacterial small subunit ribosomal RNA", at positions 29 to 523 of the family's 1533-position model. The record is from RNAcentral.
AUUGAACGCUGGCGGCAUGCCUUACACAUGCAAGUCGAACGGUAACGCGGGGCAACCUGGCGACGAGUGGCGAACGGGUGAGUAAUGCAUCGGAACGUGCCCAGUAGUGGGGGAUAGCCCGGCGAAAGCCGGAUUAAUACCGCAUACGACCUACGGGUGAAAGGGGGGGAUCGCAAGACCUCUCGCUAUUGGAGCGGCCGAUGUCAGAUUAGGUAGUUGGUGGGGUAAAAGCCUACCAAGCCGACGAUCUGUAGCUGGUCUGAGAGGACGACCAGCCACACUGGGACUGAGACACGGCCCAGACUCCUACGGGAGGCAGCAGUGGGGAAUUUUGGACAAUGGGCGCAAGCCUGAUCCAGCCAUGCCGCGUGCGGGAAGAAGGCCUUCGGGUUGUAAACCGCUUUUGUCAGGGAAGAAAUCUUCUGGGUUAAUACCUCGGGAGGAUGACGGUACCUGAAGAAUAAGCACCGGCUAACUACGUGCCAGCCGCCGCCGUAA